CUAGCCGUAAACGAUGGAUACUAGGCGUUGUGAGUAUCGACCCUCACAGUGUCGUAGCUAACGCGUUAAGUAUCUCGCCUGGGGAGUACGCGCGCAAGCGUGAAACUCAAAGGAAUUGACGGGGGCCCGCACAAGCGGUGGAGUAUGUGGUUUAAUUCGAUGCAACGCGAAGAACCUUACCAGGACUUGACAUGUCGCGAAUCUCAGGGAAACUUGAGAGUGCCUUCGGGAGCGCGAACACAGGUGGUGC
RNAcentral lists this ribosomal RNA (250 nucleotides) under uncultured Chroococcidiopsis sp. RNAcentral describes it as "partial 16S ribosomal RNA". It matches the Rfam family "Bacterial small subunit ribosomal RNA", at positions 796 to 1044 of the family's 1533-position model. Lineage: Bacteria; Bacillati; Cyanobacteriota; Cyanophyceae; Chroococcidiopsidales; Chroococcidiopsidaceae. The record is from RNAcentral.